UGAUGGAGCUAACUAGAAUUCAUUGGUUAUCUAAUAUGGUUCCAUGGACUAAGUAAUAAAAAGAUAAUGACAUAUAUUACGGGUAAGUACAGACUAAUCGCCGUGCCAGCAGUCGCGGUAAAACGGCUUGUACGAACGUUAUUCCUCUUUAAUAGGCAUAAAGGGUUCGUAGGCAGCUUUUUCAGUAAGUUAAGAAGAGUUAGAUAGAAUCUUAUAGAGGAUAGUAGAAUACAUUUAUGAGGGUUAACAUCCACAGAUUAAGUGUAGACUGUUAACAGCGAAGGCAACUAUCCAGGUAUGAUUGACGCUGAGGAACUAAGGUAGGGGUAGGAAACAGGAUGUGCGACUUGAAAGCCUAAAUAUUAUAUACUUUGUAACUCAUGUUAAAUGAAGUUAAAAACAAAGAUUAUCUUUCAUCAGAUAAUAGUCAACCUAAACAUGCAUAGAUAGUAAUAUUUAUGUGUGAAGCUUUAGGGUAAAGUUUUAUGGUUAUCUACCAAAUUUGUAAAUAAUACAAAUUAAAACGAAGACUGAUUUUUAUGAUUAAGGAAACUGAACUUAUGUUAUAAAACUUAUUAAAUUUGACAUUUUAUAGUCCUGAUAAAAUGGUGAUGAACUACAUGGUUUAAUAUUUAAAGUAAGAAUCUAACAAAAUCUAUUGUAUAUAUUUAGGAACAAGGAAAUACCUAUAAUUUGCAAAUUAGUAUAAUACAUACUAAUAGGGCUAGUUUAUUCGCGAGAAUAAUAAUAUAAUUAGAGGUAGAAUGAUAAGAAAAAAGCGAAUGCUAAUUUGUAAUAAAUUAGAUAGGUUUUUAUUAAUAAAUUUUUAUUGAAAAUUAUGAGUAUUUAAACUGAUCUGAAAAGAUGCUAACUUUCUAUUGGUGUAAAUUUGUGAAAGUAUGAUAAGCAUAUUCAAUAUUACAACAAAUAAUAACUUACAAAUAUAUGCUUGAGCCGUGUGCGAUGAAAGUUGCACGCACGGUUCUUAGGAGGGGAAAACUUGAGAGAGUCUACCUAUUCCAAAUAGAGACCCAGGUACUCCCUACACGGAACGAUGAAUGCUAGAUAUUAGUAGAUAAAACUAUUGGUGUCGAGGUGAAAAGUACGUUAAGCAUUCCGCCUUGGUAGUAUACUUGCAAAAGUGAAAUCAAAAAAAUUAGUCAGUUAUAAAGCAAACGAAGUGAAGCCUGUUGUUUAAUACGAUAACCCGAAAUUUGAUCUAGGAAAUCAAUAAUGUUGGGUGUAAAACUAUCAAACUCCGGGGACACCCUAAAGCUCAAGUUACCAAACUACUAUCAAAAAAUAGUAUGUGGCCAAGUCUUUAAUUGGCAAAUUAAAGAAUUAAAUCGUAAUUGAUUGGAGAUGGUAACAAGACUUGAGAUGCAGAGAAAUCAAAUGGGCAAUCGCGGAUCUAAAUCAAUUAUCUUACCUUCAUCCACUUUAAUAAGAGGAAGAAGAAUCAAUAGGAUAAUUGUAAAAGAGCAACGAGCAGACGGUAGUUGGUUAUUGAAAAAUAAUUUAAGGUGUGUUCUAUUAGUUAAUGAAAGUUACUAUAUAACCAAAAUCCUUUCUAAAGUGUCUUUAACAAUACGAUACUAUUCUUCUACUUCUAUUAAAGAUAUUACAUACUAUAAUUAUAACAAUUUAAACUAAUUUAUAACAGGCCUAGCAGACGCUGAAAGUUCAAUUCCUGUUAAAAAUUUAAUCGAAUAAAAGGUCUUAACAAAAAUGACUUUAAUAGUUGAUGCAAAGCUGUAAAUAUAAUAAAAAAAUAAAAACAUCUAACAAAUGAAGGUUUACAUGAGAUUAUUGAAUUAAAAAGUAAUAUAAAGUUUAGUAGAAAAACUGAUGAGUAAAAAGUAAAAAAAUAGUAGUAAAGAUGCC
RNAcentral lists this ribosomal RNA (1884 nucleotides) under Calocera cornea. The record is from RNAcentral. Lineage: Eukaryota; Fungi; Basidiomycota; Dacrymycetes; Dacrymycetales; Dacrymycetaceae.